UGGGGAAUCUUGCACAAUGGGCGAAAGCCUGAUGCAGCCAUGCCGCGUGGAUGAUGAAGGCCCUAGGGUUGUAAAAUCCUUUCGCCAGGGCUGAUAAUGACAGUACCUGGUAAAGCAGCCCCGGCUAACUUCGUGCCAGCAGCCGCGGAAAUACGAAGGGGGCUAGCGUUGGUCGGAAUUACUGGGCGUAAAGCGCGCGUAGGCGGACUCUUAAGCCAGAUGUGAAAUCCCGGGGCUCAACCCCGGAACUGCAUUUGGAACUGGGAGUCUAGAGUUCAGGAGAGGUUCGUGGAAUGCCGAGUGUAGAGGUGAAAUUCGUAGAUAUUCGGUGGAACACCAGUGGCGAAGGCGACGAACUGGACUGAUACUGACGCUGAGGUGCGAAAGUGUAGGGAGCAAACAGGAUUAGAGACCCCCGUAGUCCC
RNAcentral lists this ribosomal RNA (425 nucleotides) under uncultured prokaryote. RNAcentral describes it as "bacterial SSU rRNA". It matches the Rfam family "Bacterial small subunit ribosomal RNA", at positions 355 to 797 of the family's 1533-position model. The record is from RNAcentral.